RNAcentral lists this long non-coding RNA (316 nucleotides) under Elaeis guineensis (African oil palm). RNAcentral's name for it is "long non-coding RNA (EGUI_LNC068703)". The record is from RNAcentral. Lineage: Eukaryota; Viridiplantae; Streptophyta; Magnoliopsida; Arecales; Arecaceae.
GCAUACUCACAGUCACACAGAAUGUCCAGCCUCUAUAGAUGAUCCACUAGAAGCAUCGUGCUGAUCAGCUUCUGCAAAAGUGCUAGCUCACGUAGAAAUUUAUAGAUGGCUGAUCUUCUCCACCCAUGGAUCUGUCGGACUCCUCCAAAAUCAUAGAAAUAAUAAGGAGGAACUGGUGAUGGAAAGAUGGAGGGAGAACUCUCUUCUCUUUUGACUUUUUUCUCACCAAAAAUUCUAGAACAGAUUUCUAGGAUGCUCACCCAAGAGGAGGAAGAACUCCUCUAGAUCACACGCUUACAAGAGGCCGCCCACCCUA